AAUACUCCAUAAUAUCAUUGAAAGGCAUCUUUAGAUGAUUAAAGCUCCGGCGGUUAGAGAUGGACAUGCGCAUCAUUAGUUAGUUGGUGAGGUAACGGCUCACCAAGGCAACGAUGAUUAGGGGUUCUGAGAGGAUGAUCCCCCACACUGGUACUGAGACACGGACCAGACUCCUACGGGAGGCAGCAGUGAGGAAUAUUGGGCAAUGGACGCAAGUCUGACCCAGCCAUGCCGCGUGCAGGAUGACUGCCCUAUGGGUUGUAAACUGCUUUUAUAUGGGAAGAAAGCUUCGAUCGUGAUCGGAGUUGACGGUACCAUAAGAAUAAGCAUCGGCUAACUCCGUGCCAGCAGCCGCGGUAAUACGGAGGAUGCAAGCGUUAUCCGGAUUCAUUGGGUUUAGAGGGUGCGCAGGCGGAAUAUUAAGUCAGUGGUGAAAUCCUGCAGCUUAACUGUAGAACUGGCAUUGAUACUGAUAUUCUUGAAUAUAGUUGAGGUGGGCGGAAUGUGUAAUGUAGCGGUGAAAUGCUUAGAUAUUACCCAGAACACCAAUUGCGAAGGCAGCUCACUAAACUAAUAUUGACGCUGAGGCACGAAAGCGUGGGUAGCAAACAGGAUUAGAUACCCUGGUAGUCCACGCCGUAAACUAUGAUCACUCGCUGUUGGCAAUACAUCGUCAGCGGCUGAGCGAAAGCAUUAAGUGAUCCACCUGGGGAUUACGAUCGCAAGAUUGAAACUCAAAGGAAUUGACGGGGGCCCGCACAAGCGGAGGAACAUGUGGUUUAAUUCGAUGAUACGCGAGGAACCUUACCUGGGCUUAAAUGCAGAGCGACGUUUGCUGAAAGGUGAAUUCCUUCGGGCGAACUGCAAGGUGCUGCAUGGCUGUCGUCAGCUCGUGCCGUGAGGUGUCGGGUUAAGUCCCAUAACGAGCGCAACCCUUAUCGUUAGUUGCCAGCGGGUAAUGCCGGGGACUCUAGCGAAACUGCCGGUGUAAACCGUGAGGAAGGUGGGGAUGACGUCAAGUCAGCACGGCCCUUAUGUCCAGGGCUACACACGUGUUACAAUGAUCGAUACAAAGGGCAGCUACUUGGUAACAGGAUGCUAAUCUCUAAAAUCGGUCUCAGUUCGGAUUGGAGUCUGCAACUCGACUUCAUGAAGCUGGAU
Molecule: ribosomal RNA, 1161 nt
Filed under: uncultured organism
Description: bacterial SSU rRNA
Rfam family: Bacterial small subunit ribosomal RNA
Source: RNAcentral